This is a long non-coding RNA of Arabidopsis thaliana (thale cress), 283 nucleotides long. RefSeq annotates it as other RNA. The transcript has a single exon. Lineage: Eukaryota; Viridiplantae; Streptophyta; Magnoliopsida; Brassicales; Brassicaceae. The record is from RefSeq.
GCAACGUCACACACACAUGUGUACCUCUCUCGAUAAACUCUAGACGUGCAAUAUUUUCCUUUCGCGACAACGUUCUAUUUAUAUUCUUACCAUAAACCCCUCAAGCUCACAUGACACUUUUCUCUCUUAUUGGUCAUCUCUUCUAAGACACCAAAGCCACAUCAUCUCUUAAGAUUCGUGACUAUAUAUUUCUCUUCAGUUCAGGUCUGUUUCUCUCUGUAUCCACUCUUCAGCUCCAGCUCUUGUGUCACACGCACAGUCUUGCGCCACACGUACAAUCUUG